RNAcentral lists this ribosomal RNA (482 nucleotides) under uncultured bacterium. RNAcentral's name for it is "bacterial SSU rRNA". It matches the Rfam family "Bacterial small subunit ribosomal RNA", at positions 28 to 512 of the family's 1533-position model. The record is from RNAcentral.
GAUGAACGCUAGCGGCAGGCUUAACACAUGCAAGUCGAGGGGUAGGUUACUUCGGUAAUUGAGACCGGCGCACGGGUGCGUAACGCGUAUACAAUCUACCUUUUACAGAGGGAUAGCCCAGAGAAAUUUGGAUUAAUACCUCAUAGUAUUUUUGAACCGCAUGAUUUGAUUAUUAAAGUUCCAACGGUAAAAGAUGAGUAUGCGUCCCAUUAGCUAGAUGGUAAGGUAACGGCUUACCAUGGCUACGAUGGGUAGGGGUCCUGAGAGGGAGAUCCCCCACACUGGUACUGAGACACGGACCAGACUCCUACGGGAGGCAGCAGUGAGGAAUAUUGGACAAUGGCGCAAGCCUGAUCCAGCCAUGCCGCGUGCAGGAAGAAGGUCCUAUGGAUUGUAAACUGCUUUUAUACAGGAAGAAACACUCCCUCGUGAGGGAACUUGACGGUACUGUAUGAAUAAGGACCGGCUAACUCCGUGCCAGC